GUGCCCUUUUAAGGCUGAUGUCAUGCUGUAAGAGGCUUGCCCAGGAGGACAAAGUAAGUCUCCAUAAAACUCCAUAAAAGAGAAAAUUUUAAAUUCCUCUUUGGAUCCUGUCUCGAGGCACAGUG
Molecule: small nucleolar RNA, 125 nt
Organism: Sorex fumeus (smoky shrew)
Lineage: Eukaryota; Metazoa; Chordata; Mammalia; Eulipotyphla; Soricidae
Product: small nucleolar RNA SNORA26
Exons: 1
Source: RefSeq, a predicted model, not a curated record